RNAcentral lists this ribosomal RNA (392 nucleotides) under uncultured bacterium. RNAcentral's name for it is "partial 16S ribosomal RNA". It matches the Rfam family "Bacterial small subunit ribosomal RNA", at positions 523 to 918 of the family's 1533-position model. The record is from RNAcentral.
AUACGGAGGAUCCGAGCGUUAUCCGGAUUUAUUGGGUUUAAAGGGUGCGCAGGCGGCCAUUUAAGUCAGCGGUUAAAUCGUGGGGCUCAACCCCAUUCUGCCGUUGAUACUGGGUGGCUUGAUUGCGGUCGAGGUUGGCGGAAUUCGUUGUGUAGCGGUGAAAUGCAUAGAUAUGACGAAGAACACCGAUUGCGUAGGCAGCUGACCAGACCGCAAAUGACGCUCAUGCACGAAAGUGCGGGGAUCGAACAGGAUUAGAUACCCUGGUAGUCCGCACAGUAAACGAUGAAUACUUGCUUUCGGCGAUAUAAUGUCGGAGGCAAAGCGAAAGCGAUAAGUAUUCCACCUGGGGAGUACGCCGGCAACUGUGAAACUCAAAGGAAUUGACGGGG